Molecule: ribosomal RNA, 386 nt
Filed under: uncultured bacterium
Lineage: Bacteria
Description: bacterial SSU rRNA
Rfam family: Bacterial small subunit ribosomal RNA
Source: RNAcentral
AUUGAACGCUGGCGGCAGGCCUAACACAUGCAAGUCGAACGGCAGCACAGAAGAGCUUGCUCUUUGGGUGGCGAGUGGCGGACGGGUGAGUAACACGUAGGAAUCUACCCAGUAGUGGGGGAUAACCUGGGGAAACCCGAGGCUAAUACCGCAUACGCCCUGAGGGGGAAAGGACGGGGNGUCUUCGGACCUCGCGCUAUUGGAUGAGCCUGCGUCGGAUUAGCUAGUUGGUGGGGUAAGGGCCCACCAAGGCGACGAUCCGUAGCUGGUCCGAGAGGAUGACCAGUCACACCGGAACUGAGACACGGUCCGGACUCCUACGGGAGGCAGCAGUGGGGAAUAUUGGACAAUGGGCGGCAAGCCUGAUCCAGCCAUGCCGCGUGGGU